This 468-nucleotide ribosomal RNA is filed under the name uncultured bacterium. Its description in RNAcentral is "partial 16S ribosomal RNA". It matches the Rfam family "Bacterial small subunit ribosomal RNA", at positions 28 to 507 of the family's 1533-position model. The record is from RNAcentral.
GACGAACGCUGGCGGCGUGCUUAACACAUGCAAGUCGAACGGACAGGCGCUGCUUUUGUGGGGUGCUCGAGUGGCGAACGGGUGAGUAACACGUGAGUAACCUGCCCUUGACUUUGGGAUAACUUCAGGAAACUGGGGCUCAUACCGGAUAGGAGCUCCUGCUGCAUGGUGGGGGAUGGAAAGUUUCGGCGUUUGGGGAUGGACUCGCGGGUUAUCAGCUUGUUGGUGGGGUAGUGGCUUACCAAGGCUUUGACGGGUAGCCGGCCUGAGAGGGUGACCGGCCACAUUGGGACUGAGGUACGGCCCAGACGCCUACGGGAGGCAGAAGUGGGGAAUAUGGCACAAUGGGCGGAAGCCUGAUGCAGCAACGCCGCGUGCGGGAUGACGUGCUUCGGGUUGUAAACCGCUUUCGCCUGUGACGAAGCGUGAGUGACGGUAACGGGUAAAGAAGCAACGGCUAACUACGUG